UACAUAGGGGGCAAGCGUUAUCCGGAUUUACUGGGUGUAAAGGGUGCGUAGGCGGUUAGGAAAGUCAGAUGUGAAACCCCGUGGCUCAACCAUGGGCAUGCAUUUGAAACUUCUUGACUAGAGUACAGGAGAGGUGAGUGGAAUUCCUAGUGUAGCGGUAAAAUGCGUAGAUAUUAGGAAGAACACCAGUGGCGAAGGCGACUCACUGGACUGAAACUGACGCUGAGGCACGAAAGCGUGGGGAGCGAACAGG
RNAcentral lists this ribosomal RNA (253 nucleotides) under uncultured bacterium. Its description in RNAcentral is "partial 16S ribosomal RNA". It matches the Rfam family "Bacterial small subunit ribosomal RNA", at positions 524 to 776 of the family's 1533-position model. The record is from RNAcentral.